UACGUAGGGUGCAAGCGUUGUCCGGAAUUAUUGGGCGUAAAGAGCUCGUAGGCGGUCUGUCGCGUCGGCUGUGAAAACCCGGAGCUCAACUCCGGGCCUGCAGUCGAUACGGGCAAACUGGAGUGUUGCAGGGGAGACUGGAAUUCCUGGUGUAGCGGUGAAAUGCGCAGAUAUCAGGAGGAACACCAAUUGCGAAGGCAGCUCGCUGGGACGUAACUGACGCUGAGACGCGAAAGCGUGGGGAGCAAACAGG
Molecule: ribosomal RNA, 253 nt
Filed under: uncultured bacterium
Lineage: Bacteria
Description: partial 16S ribosomal RNA
Rfam family: Bacterial small subunit ribosomal RNA
Source: RNAcentral